This 746-nucleotide ribosomal RNA is filed under the name uncultured archaeon. RNAcentral describes it as "bacterial SSU rRNA". It matches the Rfam family "Archaeal small subunit ribosomal RNA", at positions 130 to 859 of the family's 1478-position model. The record is from RNAcentral.
CCCCGGGAAACUGGGGCUAAUUCUCGAUAAGUGAAGAACUCUGGAAUGAGUCUUUGCUAAAAAGACGUUUACGUUAUGCUCGUAGGCGUCGCCCAAGGAUGAGGCCGCGACCGAUCAGGUUGUUGGUGAGGUAAUGGCUCACCAAGCCUUUUACCGGUGCGGGCCGUGAGAGCGGGAGCCCGGAGAUGGGCACUGAGACAAGGGCCCAGGCCCUACGGGGCGCAGCAGUCGCGAAAACUUUGCAAUACACGAAAGUGUGACAGGGCUAUCCCGAGUGCCAUCCGCUGAGGAAGGCUUUUACCCAGUCUAGAACGCUGGGGGAAUAAGGAGAGGGCAAGUCUGGUGUCAGCCGCCGCGGUAAUACCAGCUCUCCGAGUGGUGUGGAUGUUUAUUGGGCCUAAAGCAUCCGUAGCUGGCUGAGUUAGUCCCUUGUUAAAUCCACCGAAUUAAUCGUUGGAUUGCGGGGGAUACUGCUCGGCUAGGGGACGAGAGAGGCAGACGGUAUUUCCGGGGUAGGGGUGAAAUCCUAUAAUCCCGGGAAGACCACCAGUGGCGAAGGCUGUCUGCUAGAACGCGCCCGACGGUGAGGGAUGAAAGCUGGGGGAGCGAACCGGAUUAGAUACCCGGGUAGUCCCAGCUGUAAACGAUGCAGGCUAGGUGUUUGGACGGCCACGUGCCGUUCUAGUGCCGCAGGGAAGCUGUUAAGCCUGCCGCCUGGGGAGUACGAUCGCAAGAUUGAAACUUAA